UUAAAAAGCUCGUAGUUGGAUUUCUGUCGAGGGCGGGCGGUCCGCACUAUGUGCGUGUAUCUUGUUCGGUCUUGGCAUCCUCUUGGGGAAUGCUUCUGUGCUCGAUUGCAUGGGGUGGAAUUCAAGACUUUUACUUUGAGGAAAUUAGAGUGUUCACGGCAAGCUACCGCUUUGAAUACGUUAGCAUGGAAUAAUAAUAUAGGGCGUAAGUUCUAUUUUGUUGGUUUCUAGGACAUACGCAAUGAUUAAUAGGGACAAUUGGGGGCAUUCGUAUUAACGCGUCAGAGGUGGAAUUCUUAGAUUGCGUUACGACGAACUACUGCGAAAGCAUUUGCCAAAGAUGUUUUCAUUGAUCAAGAACGAAAGUAUGGGGAUCGAAGACGAUUAGAUACCGUCGUAGUCUAUACCAUAAACUAUGCCAAUUAGAGAUUGGGCGUCGUUCGUUUUAUGACUCGCUCAGCACCUUAUGAGAAAUCAAAAUUUUCGGGUUCCGGGGGGAGUAUGGUCGCAAGGCUGAAACUUAAAGGAAUUGACGGAAGGGCACCACCAGGAGUGGAGCCUGCGGCUUAAUUUGACUCAACACGGGA
This 587-nucleotide ribosomal RNA is filed under the name uncultured eukaryote. RNAcentral describes it as "SSU rRNA". It matches the Rfam family "Eukaryotic small subunit ribosomal RNA", at positions 619 to 1210 of the family's 1831-position model. The record is from RNAcentral.